Molecule: ribosomal RNA, 497 nt
Filed under: uncultured bacterium
Lineage: Bacteria
Description: partial 16S ribosomal RNA
Rfam family: Bacterial small subunit ribosomal RNA
Source: RNAcentral
GAUGAACGCUGGCGGCGUGCCUAAUACAUGCAAGUCGAGCGAACAGACGAGGAGCUUGCUCCUCUGACGUUAGCGGCGGACGGGUGAGUAACACGUGGAUAACCCACCUAUAAGACUGGGAUAACUUCGGGAAACCGGAGCUAAUACCGGAUAAUAUAUUGAACCGCAUGGUUCAAUAGUGAAAGACGGUUUUGCUGUCACUUAUAGAUGGAUCCGCGCCGCAUUAGCUAGUUGGUAAGGUAACGGCUUACCGAGGCAACGAUGCGUAGCCGACCUGAGAGGGUGAUCGGCCACACUGGAACUGAGACACGGUCCAGACUCCUACGGGAGGCAGCAGUAGGGAAUCUUCCGCAAUGGGCGAAAGCCUGACGGAGCAACGCCGCGUGAGUGAUGAAGGUCUUCGGAUCGUAAAACUCUGUUAUUAGGGAAGAACAAAUGUGUAAGUAACUAUGCACGUCUUGACGGUACCUAAUCAGAAAGCCACGGCUAACUACGUG